GGCGGACGGGUGAGUAACGCGUAAGAACCUGCCCUUGGGAGGGGAACAACAGCUGAAAACGGCUGCUAAUACCUCAUAGGCUGAGGAGCAAAAGGAGGAAUCCGCCCAAGGAGGGGCUCGCGUCUGAUUAGUUAGUUGGUGAGGCAAUGGCUUACCAAGGCGACGAUCAGUAGCUGGUCCGAGAGAAUGAUCAGCCACACUGGGACUGAGACACGGCCCAG
RNAcentral lists this ribosomal RNA (221 nucleotides) under uncultured bacterium. Its description in RNAcentral is "partial 16S ribosomal RNA". It matches the Rfam family "Bacterial small subunit ribosomal RNA", at positions 97 to 334 of the family's 1533-position model. The record is from RNAcentral.